UUGCUCUUCAACGAGGAAUGCCUAGUAAGCGCGUGUCAUCAGCAUGCGUUGAUUACGUCCCUGCCCUUUGUACACACCGCCCGUCGCUACUACCGAUUGAAUGGCUCAGUGAGGCGUUCGGACUGGCUUGAGGAGGUUGGCAACGACCACCUUAAGCCGGAAAGUUCGUCAAACUCGGUCAUUUAGAGGAAGUAAAAGUCGUAACAAGGUUUCCGUAGGUGAACCUGCGGAAGGAUCAUUACUUUUCACUUUGGGAGCUGUUAGUCUAUAUCACUAUAGCUGGCUCCUAUUUGAAACCCUUGUCUUUUGCGUACCCAUGUUUCCUCGGCGGGCUUGCCCGCCGGUUGGACAACCUUAAAACCUUUUUAAUUUUCAAUCAGCGUCUGAAUAAAUAUAAUAAUUACAACUUUCAACAACGGAUCUCUUGGUUCUGGCAUCGAUGAAGAACGCAGCGAAAUGCGAUAAGUAGUGUGAAUUGCAGAAUUCAGUGAAUCAUCGAAUCUUUGAACGCACAUUGCGCCCCUUGGUAUUCCAUGGGGCAUGCCUGUUCGAGCGUCAUUUGUACCUUCAAGCUUUGCUUGGUGUUGGGUGUUUGUCUCGCCUCUGCGUGUAGACUCGCCUUAAAACAAUUGGCAGCCGGCGUAUUGAUUUCGGAGCGCAGUACAUCUCGCGCUUUGCACUCAUAACGACGACGUCCAAAAGUACAUUUUUACACUCUUGACCUCGGAUCAGGUAGGGAUACCCGCUGAACUUAAGCAUAUCAAUAAGCGGAGGA
This 775-nucleotide ribosomal RNA is filed under the name uncultured fungus. Its description in RNAcentral is "eukaryotic LSU rRNA". The stretch from base 1 to 241 matches the Rfam family "Eukaryotic small subunit ribosomal RNA", at positions 1593 to 1831 of the family's 1831-position model. Lineage: Eukaryota; Fungi. The record is from RNAcentral.